CCCUUAGAUGUCCUGGGCUGCACGCGCGCUACACUGACACGUUCAGCAAGUUUCCUAUUCCGAAGGGAAAAGGUAAUCUUUUGAAAUCGUGUCGUGAUGGGGAUAGAUUAUUGCAAUUAUUAAUCUUCAACGAGGAAUUCCUAGUAAGUGUAAGUCAUCAGCUUGCACUGAUUACGUCCCUGCCUUUUGUACACACCGUCCGUCGCUCCUACCGAUUGAGUGAUCUGGUGAAUAAUUCGGACUGCGCUUGUGGGCAACCAUUUGUGCGGGAAGUUUAGUGAACCUUAUCACUUAGAGGAAGGAGAAGUCGUAACA
RNAcentral lists this ribosomal RNA (315 nucleotides) under uncultured eukaryote. RNAcentral's name for it is "partial 18S ribosomal RNA". It matches the Rfam family "Eukaryotic small subunit ribosomal RNA", at positions 1470 to 1796 of the family's 1831-position model. The record is from RNAcentral.